UAGGGAAUCUUCGGCAAUGGACGAAAGUCUGACCGAGCAACGCCGCGUGAGUGAAGAAGGUUUUCGGAUCGUGAAACUCUGUUGUUAGAGAAGAACAAGGACGUUAGUAACUGAACGUCCCCUGACGGUAUCUAACCAGAAAGCCACGGCUAACUACGUGCCAGCAGCCGCGGUAAUACGUAGGUGGCAAGCGUUGUCCGGAUUUAUUGGGCGUAAAGCGAGCGCAGGCGGUUUCUUAAGUCUGAUGUGAAAGCCCCCGGCUCAACCGGGGAGGGUCAUUGGAAACUGGGAGACUUGAGUGCAGAAGAGGAGAGUGGAAUUCCAUGUGUAGCGGUGAAAUGCGUAGAUAUAUGGAGGAACACCAGUGGCGAAGGCGGCUCUCUGGUCUGUAACUGACGCUGAGGCUCGAAAGCGUGGGGAGCAAACAGG
Molecule: ribosomal RNA, 429 nt
Filed under: Gemmatimonadota bacterium
Lineage: Bacteria; Pseudomonadati; Gemmatimonadota
Description: Gemmatimonadetes bacterium partial 16S ribosomal RNA
Rfam family: Bacterial small subunit ribosomal RNA
Source: RNAcentral